AUCGCGUUGCCCCCCUGCUAGAUCCUUCUUGGUCGAGCGCGGGGAGCGGAUUAUGGCCUCCCGUGACCCCAACACGGGAUGCGGAUGGCCCAAAUGCGAGUCCAUGGCGGCGGAUGUCACGGCGAGUGGUGGACGUACCUAGUGUGCAUAUCUUCGCGUCGUGGCCCCGUCGUUCGCGGGCGAUUGUCCCUUACGAGUCCUUCUAAAGCGACUCUCCGACC
This 221-nucleotide unclassified non-coding RNA is filed under the name Ipomoea imperati. RNAcentral describes it as "sequence contains ITS2". The record is from RNAcentral. Lineage: Eukaryota; Viridiplantae; Streptophyta; Magnoliopsida; Solanales; Convolvulaceae.